GCCCAUACAGCUCUGAUAGCUCAGGCAGUACAGCAUGAAACUCUUAAUCUAAGGGUUGUGGUUUCGAGCCCCAUGAUAGGCA
Molecule: non-coding RNA, 82 nt
Organism: Podarcis lilfordi (Lilford's wall lizard)
Lineage: Eukaryota; Metazoa; Chordata; Lepidosauria; Squamata; Lacertidae
Source: the annotation of a GenBank genome assembly